UUUGGACAAUGGGGGCAACCCUGAACCAACCAUCCCGCGUUUGCGAUGAAGGCCAUCGGGUUUUAAAGCACUUUUGGCAGGGAAGAACAGGCUCCGGCUAAUACCCGGCACUGCUGACGGCACCUGCAGAAUAAGCACCGGCUAAACACGUACCAGCAGCCGCGGUAAUACGCAGGGUGCAAGCGUUAAUCGGAAUUACUGGGCGUAAAGCGUGCGCAUGCGGUUCGGCAAGAAGGAUGUGAAAUCCCAGGGCUUAACCUUGGAACUGCAUUCUUAACUGCCGGGCUAGAGUAUGUCAGAGGGGGGUAGAAUUCCGCGUGUAGCAGUGAAAUGCGUAGAGAUGCGGAGGAAUACCGAUGGCGAAGGCAGCCCCCUGGGAUAAUACUGACGCUCAUGCACGAAAGCGUGGGGAGCAAACA
This 419-nucleotide ribosomal RNA is filed under the name uncultured bacterium. RNAcentral describes it as "partial 16S ribosomal RNA". It matches the Rfam family "Bacterial small subunit ribosomal RNA", at positions 363 to 774 of the family's 1533-position model. The record is from RNAcentral.